RNAcentral lists this RNase MRP RNA (648 nucleotides) under Endocarpon pusillum Z07020. RNAcentral describes it as "RNase MRP". It matches the Rfam family "RNase MRP". From Rfam's summary of the family: RNase MRP is an enzymatically active ribonucleoprotein with two distinct roles in eukaryotes. In mitochondria it plays a direct role in the initiation of mitochondrial DNA replication. In the nucleus it is involved in precursor rRNA processing, where it cleaves the internal transcribed spacer 1 between 18S and 5.8S rRNAs. Lineage: Eukaryota; Fungi; Ascomycota; Eurotiomycetes; Verrucariales; Verrucariaceae. The record is from Rfam by way of RNAcentral.
UCCGCGCUCAAAGAAUCGCAUUCGAAGCUCACGAACAGAGGCGUCCUUGACCCUCAAACCCAUAUCAGCUUCGGGAGAAAGUCCCCGGACACCCUGUCUCUCCUCUGUCUUCGGACUCUGGAGACUGCUCAGGACUGCGGAAACGCGCCGCCAUAAAAGCAAUUUUUCUGCGGCUUACGCCUACCUUCGCCUUCUGCCGGCAUUGUGUCCUUCUGGACGCUGGUCCUCGCUCCCAUACAUGGCUCGACCUUGUGCCGUUUGUACUCUCUGUCUGCUUAUCGACGAUUUUCCAGCUCGGGUCUGUGUCGCUUGCGCUGAGGGAGGGACCGCCUCGAAAGAGGAUGGGAUGAAGAUAUGAGUCCGAGCCCUCCUCUCGGCCUGGUUGAUACUAUGGCCUUGAGUGCUUAUGGGAUCUUGUUCAAGGAGCGGGGGAGGAGGUGACAAGGGUACGAAUUGGAGUCGGGACUGGGACAAUCACAGCUGAAGGAUUUACUCUCCAAGAGAGAGGAUGCAUGUUUGGUGAAAGGAGAAGGUUUGGUUGCCAUUCGUCGUGUUUGGAAAGUUAUGCGAUUGCCUUUCCUGAGCUUGAGGGCUUGGCCUCAGGUGAAAGAGAUUGGUAACUCGAUGGGGCUUAUUCUUGAGGCGCGG